ACCCAGCUGACGAGUCCUAAAUGGGAUGAAACGCAUGUCCUGAAU
Molecule: non-coding RNA, 45 nt
Filed under: Schistosoma curassoni
Lineage: Eukaryota; Metazoa; Platyhelminthes; Trematoda; Strigeidida; Schistosomatidae
Source: RNAcentral